RNAcentral lists this ribosomal RNA (477 nucleotides) under uncultured bacterium. Its description in RNAcentral is "partial 16S ribosomal RNA". It matches the Rfam family "Bacterial small subunit ribosomal RNA", at positions 30 to 507 of the family's 1533-position model. The record is from RNAcentral.
AUUGAACGCUGGCGGCAUGCCUUACACAUGCAAGUCGAACGGUAACAGGUUAAGCUGCCGAGUGGCGAACGGGUGAGUAAUGUAUCGGAACGUGCCCAGUCGUGGGGGAUAACUGCUCGAAAGAGCAGCUAAUACCGCAUACGACCUGAGGGUGAAAGCGGGGGAUCGCAAGACCUCGCGCGAUUGGAGCGGCCGAUAUCAGAUUAGGUAGUUGGUGAGGUAAAGGCUCACCAAGCCGACGAUCUGUAGCUGGUCUGAGAGGACGACCAGCCACACUGGGACUGAGACACGGCUCAGACUCCUACGGGAGGCAGCAGUGGGGAAUUUUGGACAAUGGGCGCAAGCCUGAUCCAGCCAUGCCGCGUGCGGGAAGAAGGCCUUCGGGUUGUAAACCGCUUUUGUCAGGGAAGAAAAGGUUCUGGCUAAUACCUGGGACUCAUGACGGUACCUGAAGAAUAAGCACCGGCUAACUACGUG